CCUGCAUUGCCAGCUUCAUCUCUCCAUCACCAUGUGCUCUGCCUAAUUUCCCAAAUAUUCUGUUCCCUGCUUCUUUCCAGGUUUCUGUUUACCCUGCUCCUCCAGCCUGAGUUCCUUUUUUUUCUCCAUUCUGCUUGUUGAACUCCUGCCAAACUCCGAUUUUGACAUCAAAGCCCACCUUGAAUGCUGCUUGUCUCUAAAGCCAUCGCUGGCAUUUCCAGACAUUGUCAAUAUCUACUGGACUAAAGAAAUUCUCUACUAAUCAGAAAAGGAAUUGGUCUGUAUUGAAGCUGGAAAGAAAAUCAGAGGAGCCAAUGCUGUCAGAGUCCAUCCAAGGGCCAUUUAAAGAUGUCCUGGCCAGAGGUCUGGGCUGUCAGGUCCUGCCAGCAGGGACACACUUGCCUCCCACCCUGUUAAUGGUACCAGCUCCCUGGAAU
RNAcentral lists this long non-coding RNA (437 nucleotides) under Pan troglodytes (chimpanzee). RNAcentral's name for it is "lncRNA (ENSPTRG00000053884.1)". The record is from RNAcentral. Lineage: Eukaryota; Metazoa; Chordata; Mammalia; Primates; Hominidae.